Long non-coding RNA from Haemorhous mexicanus (house finch), 523 nucleotides. RefSeq lists it as uncharacterized. NCBI's taxonomy places the organism in Eukaryota, Metazoa, Chordata, Aves, Passeriformes, Fringillidae. The record is from RefSeq and is a predicted model, not a curated record. The transcript has 2 exons.
CAGGCAUGUAACUUUCUCCAGCUGUUAGAUUUUAUGUUUGAGAGUUUUCUGAAGAGUUUUCUGAAGCCUUUCAAGAUUUUAAGAGUACUUGUCCAAGUUUUGUGAUUGAUGGAGGUGCUGAUGGCAAAUUCCCAUGGUAUUCCCCAGUGGUCAUGAUUUUGCCUGAAUCUUCCUCUUCCUUGUGUGAGAGAAGAAACUCAUCAGGUUUGGCUGAUUAGCUCACUCGGUUCUGUGUGGAAGGAGAUGGUGUGGGCAUGAAUAUGGUAGGAGUUAAGAAAUAUAAUAUGGUGAUGUCUGGCUAAGGCCCUUGGAGGAUAACACUCACUGGAUAUUAUCAGGCUUUGUCUCCAAGGCAAGGUUUCACUGGCAGGAGGAGGGAACAUGUAUUUCUUGAGCCAUAGUAACAGCAUCAUCCCAUUUUUUCAGUAGUUCUGCAAUGCCAGUUCAUUCUGAUGUGUGGGCUUGUAGUGUCCUCAUGUAUAUGUGUGCACACCAAUAUCCAUAAAUAAACCAUAAUUGACCA